CUUAGUCCUAUUGCCCUCCAGUUAACAAGGUGAUUAUUUAUACUGUUAACUGCAAAGUUUCAAAAAAAAUAUAUGAUAAUUAACAUGUUUGUAUGACAUGCAGUUGUUUACUUGUGAUUAGACUUGUUUUAAAAGAAAUAAGAAGACUGUAAUUUUAACACAAAUAAUGCAGUUACUGAUUUGCUGGCCACACUAGCAUUCCAUCUAAUUAUGUAGGCAUGCUUUUCCACUAAAAUCGAUUAUUCUACACGAUGUAUUUAUAAUGUAAUGUAUCAUUACAAUUUGUUGUUGCCAUUAUUGGAAUUUAUAUUCUUACAGCUAAGACAGAGGAGUUAUCAUUAAUGAACCGUACAUCUCUCGAUAAAAAUCACAACCUAGCCAUGAAGUUCUAUUAAAAACGUGAAUUUUAAAGACACUUUUCACAUUUAUUUUUAUUUCAUUUUAUUUGUUAUUUCAUUAUCAACUCCUUCUUAUACUGUUUUUAUAUUGAAUUUUGAUUUCUCCAGAUCCCACAAGAAUUUGUUGCUGCAUGAACGGCCUGCAAUCACUGUGUCUGGAGAUAACCAGUUUAUCAAAUCCGAUAAUAUUCCGUGCCACAAGAGACCGAAGAGAGAAACAUGGUUAGAACCGUCUCCUACGGGUUUCUACUUUAAGGGACAAUGGCGUGCACUGAGAUGCUCGAAUAAACUGCAUAAUCCCGCUGCUACGUCAUACGUUAAAUGUCUCAGAGGGUUCCAUGUGUUACUGAUAGGCGAUUCGAAUCUUCGGUCAUGGUUUUUACGCAUUAAAGAUAUGUUGAAUAUGACAAUAACAACGAAGAAGUUGAACAUAAAAUGGUAUACAACUUUGGAAGCAGAAAACCAGGAACUAAAUACAUCUAUGGCAUUAGCUGUUCAUGCAAAUCCCUUUUAUGGCGGUAUUACAGCUUUACCGAAAUCUUCUAUACAGUCGGUAGCUUGGCAACUAGACCAGAUCAACACCACUAGGAGUGUUGCUGUAGUUAUUCAUAUGUACCUGCAUUUGGCAAGGACAGUGCCAGAGGAGUAUCGCGCACACGUGAAAGAAGCUAAAACAGGUAUUGACAGACUUUUCAAACGUGCACCAAAUGCUGUCGUUUUCAUCAAGGGGCCUCAUGCAGUAACGACACCAGCAUUUCAGGUACCCGUCGAUUAUUUCAGAAACGUUCAAGAACAAAUUCUUUACGAGGAAUUCAGAGACAUGAUAGAUCAAAUAGUAUUUCUUAAUCAAUGGGACAUGACAUCUGGGUGUGAAAAUGUCCCUAUCCAUCCAAAUACUGCAAAUUUAAAUAACAUGGUCGACCUUUUUAUAUCUUAUCUGUGCUAUUAAUGAUAAGUACCUUUGUUCAAGUAUGCCCUUGUUUUCAUCAUGUAUUGAAAAAUACUACUGAUGCUGAUUUCUCUAUUCGCUGUUAGUCAAACAGUAAUGAUCUAACCUGCUGAACUAUCCUACUCUAAUUGCCUACCAUCAUAAACAGAUAUACAUAAGGAUUUCCCUUAGUUAUUUUUAAGGUGUAUUAAUUGCUAUGCAUUGUAGAAAGUAUUAUUUUAACCGAGUAUUAGCACAAGACGUCCGACAUUUCUAAGAUAUAUAGUAUGAAAACUUGGAUAAUACCACAGAAAACCUUUGAUACAAAUGCACAAACUAAUGGUUAUAAUUAUGCUUGAUGUCGAAAGACCCAAUUUCAUUAUGCAAUAGUUUGCUUCUCCGAAAAAGAUAAGUACAUCAAGAAUGAUGAAGGUAACUUGAUUAGCAAGGUCGUAAACAAGAGACCAAUUGGAUUGCCAUACAUAAUGAAAUGAGGUUUUUUCUAUGAGUACUUGAGUGGUUGUUUUCAUUAUUAUGUUGCAUACUGCGUCAGUAAUUAAUCUCUAAUCGAUAACUAUCCAAAACAUUUAAUCAAUGACCAAUAAUCGGUUAUCAAUCGGUAAUCGAUAGCCGAACAAUAACUGAUCAAUAGUCAUUGAAUAACCAAUCAAUAAUUGAUCAAUGAGUAACAGCCGAUCAAUGACCAAUAACCAAUCAAUAUUCCAUGAUCGAUCGACUUAUCAAUAAUCAAUAUCCAAUCAGUCUACUUUGUUAGAUGGUGUAUAUAAAUUAGCAUCAGCAGAUAAGACUAAAAUCAGUUCUAGACAGUAUUACAUCGAAACACAAAUGGGAAUCUGACCAGGGCUGAUUGAUAUCCCUAGAUAAUCAAAGAAUAGUAGGACUUAAACAGAAUAUUCUUGAGUACCUCCUUCAAUACGAGGCUCACAACAUAUCGAUCAUCCCUCGUAAGUGACAGAAAUAAUGGUGUAAACACUAGACUUAUAUAUUACAUUAUAGAUAACUAAAUAACAUACCAGGUCAUCUAAUAUGUAUUGAUUUCGAACAAGCAUUCAACUCAGUCUCAUAAAUUAAACAAAGUAAUUUUCGUUUUUUUUUUCAAUUUUGGAGAAAGCACUAAAAUGGAUAAAAACUUUGUUUAGUAAAACCUAUUUUGCUGUUACACCAAACAUACAGAAGGACUGUCCACAAGGGGAUCCUAUCUCCCCAUGUCUUUUUGGGAGCCUGAAGUUGGUUCCGAGUUCCGAGUUUCGUUUAAGUAAAACGGAACUCGGAACUGGAGUUCCGUUUACUUACGGAACUCGGCCGAGUUCCGUUUUACUUAAACCGAACUCUGAACUCGGAAAUCGGAAGUACCGUUUUACUUAAACGGAACUCAGAACUCGGAACUAACUUCAGGCUCCCUGUCUUUUUUGGUUGUUGCUGAAAUACUGAUUAUUCUCUUAAACAUAAUAAACAUAUUACAGUUAUCAAAGUACAU
Molecule: long non-coding RNA, 2824 nt
Organism: Pecten maximus
Lineage: Eukaryota; Metazoa; Mollusca; Bivalvia; Pectinida; Pectinidae
Exons: 2
Source: RefSeq, a predicted model, not a curated record